UACAGAGGUCCCGAGCGUUGUUCGGAUUCAUUGGGCGUAAAGGGUGCGUAGGCGGCGGGGCAAGUCUGAUGUGAAAUCCCGGGGCUCAACCCCGGAACUGCAUUGGAUACUGCCUUGCUAGAGUACUGGAGAGGGAACUGGAAUUUACGGUGUAGCAGUGAAAUGCGUAGAGAUCGUAAGGAAGGCCAGUGGCGAAGGCGAGUUCCUGGACAGUUACUGACGCUGAGGCACGAAGGCCAGGGGAGCAGACGGG
This 253-nucleotide ribosomal RNA is filed under the name uncultured bacterium. RNAcentral's name for it is "partial 16S ribosomal RNA". It matches the Rfam family "Bacterial small subunit ribosomal RNA", at positions 524 to 776 of the family's 1533-position model. The record is from RNAcentral.